GACGAACGCUGGCGGCGUGCUUAACACAUGCAAGUCGAACGAUGAUGCUGGAGCUUGCUCCAGUUGAUUAGUGGCGAACGGGUGAGUAACACGUGAGCAAUCUGCCCUUGACUCUGGGAUAACUGCGGGAAACUGUAGCUAAUACCGGAUACUUUCACCGGAAGGCAUCUUCUGGUGAUGAAAGAAUUUCGGUCAGGGAUGAGCUCGCGGCAUAUCAGCUUGUUGGUGAGGUAACGGCUCACCUAGGCGACGACGGGUAACCGGCCUGAGAGGGUGACCGGUCACACGGAGACUGAGACACGGCCCAGACUCCUACGGGAGGCAGCAGUGGGGAAUGUUGCACAAUGGGCGCAAGCCUGAUGCAGCAACGCCGCGUGAGGGAUGAAGGCCUUCGGGUUGUAAACCUCUUUUAGCAGGGAAGAAGCGAAAGUGACGGUACCUGCAGAAAAAGCACCGGCUAACUACGUGCCAGCCGCCGCAGUAA
This 484-nucleotide ribosomal RNA is filed under the name uncultured bacterium. RNAcentral's name for it is "partial 16S ribosomal RNA". It matches the Rfam family "Bacterial small subunit ribosomal RNA", at positions 28 to 523 of the family's 1533-position model. The record is from RNAcentral.